Molecule: small nuclear RNA, 129 nt
Organism: Lynx canadensis (Canada lynx)
Lineage: Eukaryota; Metazoa; Chordata; Mammalia; Carnivora; Felidae
Gene: U4
Rfam family: U4 spliceosomal RNA
About the family: U4 small nuclear RNA (U4 snRNA) is a component of the major U2-dependent spliceosome. The structure of U4 snRNA from yeast and human has been reported. U4 snRNA presents a k-turn RNA motif in the 5p-SL related to recognition of Snu13 protein.
Source: Ensembl
AGCUUUGCGCAGUGGCAGUUUCGGAGCCAAUGAGGUUUAUCCGAGGCGCGAUUAUUGCUAAUCGAAAUUGAAAAUGUAAUUGGAAUUAUUCUUCUUUUUCAAUAUUAUUUUUGCUGUAACUCAUAUCUC